UGUGGUGCCAUAGUUUGUUGAGGGGUGGUGGUGAGGGAAUUUGAAGAGUUUGGGAGCCAGGCCAACUGACUUUGCUGAAGCGGAUAUCACAUAAAGUUCCCUCUCAACUCACCACAUGAAAUGCAGCACUGACCAGGAGAGAGCCCAGAAAGUGAAAGAUGAGACAGUUUGAUUGAGGGAGAUAGGUGGCUGCGUUACCCUGAGAAAGAGUGGGAUGUGUGGAACGCUGCAAUAUACAGCCAAGGGAAAGAAUCCCCACGCUGAGCUUAAACACUGGAGAGCUGAGACAAGUUCUCUUGGCACACAAGAGCUCGGGUCAUGGAUUUUUCCCAUUCAGCCGGAAAGCAAAAUAGUGCUGGUGUGUAUCUAA
Molecule: long non-coding RNA, 370 nt
Filed under: Struthio camelus australis
Lineage: Eukaryota; Metazoa; Chordata; Aves; Struthioniformes; Struthionidae
Description: lncRNA (ENSSCUG00000010833.1)
Source: RNAcentral